GACGAACGCUGGCGGCGUGCUUAACACAUGCAAGUCGAACGGAAAGGCCCUGCUUUUGCGGGGCGCUCGAGUGGCGAACGGGUGAGUAACACGUGAGUAACCUGCCCUUGACUUUGGGAUAACUUCAGGAAACUGGGGCUAAUACCGGAUAGGAGCUCCUGCUGCAUGGUGGGGGUUGGAAAGUUUCGGCGGUUGGGGAUGGACUCGCGGCUUAUCAGCUUGUUGGUGGGGUAGUGGCUUACCAAGGCUUUGACGGGUAGCCGGCCUGAGAGGGUGACCGGCCACAUUGGGACUGAGAUACGGCCCAGACUCCUACGGGAGGCAGCAGUGGGGAGUAUUGCACAGUGGGCGGAAGCCUGAUGCAGCAACGCCGCGUGCGGGAUGACGGCCUUCGGGUUGUAAACCGCUUUCGCCUGUGACGAAGCGUGAGUGACGGUAAUGGGUAAAGAAGCACCGGCUAACUACGUG
RNAcentral lists this ribosomal RNA (468 nucleotides) under uncultured bacterium. RNAcentral's name for it is "partial 16S ribosomal RNA". It matches the Rfam family "Bacterial small subunit ribosomal RNA", at positions 28 to 507 of the family's 1533-position model. The record is from RNAcentral.